GGACUACACGGGUAUCUAAUCCCGUUCGCUCCCCUGGCUUUCGCGCCUCAGCGUCAGAUGGGGUCCAGCGUGCCGCCUUCGCCACCGGAGUUCCUGUGGAUAUCAACGCAUUUCACCGCUCCACCCACAGUUCCGCACGCCCCUACCCCCCUCGAGGCCGCCCGUACCCGGGGCCGUUCUCCGGUUGAGCCGGAGGAUUUCACCCCGGACGCGGCAGCCCGCCUACGCGCCCUUUAAGCCCAGUGAUUCCGAACAACGUUCGCUCGGUUCGUCUUACCGCGGCUGCUGGCAC
RNAcentral lists this ribosomal RNA (292 nucleotides) under uncultured bacterium. RNAcentral's name for it is "partial 16S ribosomal RNA". RNAcentral also lists the same sequence under 2 other names. The record is from RNAcentral.